This 1068-nucleotide unclassified non-coding RNA is filed under the name Hevea brasiliensis (rubber tree). Lineage: Eukaryota; Viridiplantae; Streptophyta; Magnoliopsida; Malpighiales; Euphorbiaceae. The record is from RNAcentral.
CGGCUGGGUCUAGGUUUUCCCCAAAUAUACAAAGAUCAAGUUUAACAUUUAGAAGAAAAACAAGGAAAAAAACAUGGAAAGCUCACAAAUGAAACAGACCAUAAAGACCAAUAUAAUCUUCCCAUAUAUAUAUAUAUAUAUGGAAACGAAGAUUUCCAGAGAUAGAACUAAUGGCCUGGGAAUGGUAGCAGUGAAAAUAGCACAUGGGUUUUAUUGGUGUUGUUAAUUAAAGAAGAUGAUCUUAUAUAAUAGAAAAAUUCAGUAGUUAGUUCCUGUCCUGGUAUUCCAGCAACUGCAUGCGACUUUGUAACCUUAGCUGCUCAUAAAACCUUCGAAUGAAUUCCUCAGCUUCAUCAUCGACACCUCCAUUUAUUCCACUAUCGUUCUCAUCUUCCGAUGAAUAAUUCGACACCCUUACAGAUAAGGGCGAAGGGAGAGGGCUACGCUUCUCUUCUGGAGCAAAGUCAGAGGCAUCAAGAUGAUGAAAUAAGUUGAAGGGAUACUCAUCAGGGGUCUUUGGCGCCAUCACCCGUGCUGCUGCCUUAUUAGUCUCUUCUUCUUCUUCGAUGACCUCAGGGGGAUUGAUGCAAGGGAAGUAAUGGUGUUUGCGCUUUGGCAAGUGGAAAAAAACAGGAUUUGGGCUGUUGCUACAAGAGAACUCGUACUCCUCUAAGCCAUAGCUACCGCUUGCCAUGUUUCCGUGGUGGUGGUGAUGAUGAUGGCAUAUGAGAUUGCUAAAAUAUUUCCUUAGAAGCUUCCCUCUCUUCACCAUGAGAUUCAUGUCCAUUAUCAACUUCCUCUUUGAAACCAAUCCCUUCCUGAUCAUAAAGAAGGUCAGCCUCAACACAUUCCAUAGCCUCUUGGCCGCUAACAUGGAGUUCACCCUGGGAUGUACCUCCAUUUCACACUAACCUGUAAGAACCAAGCUUGAUAAUCAUUGAUAAUUAAGGAAGNNNNNNNNNAUGGAGGAGAGAGAAUAUACAAAUAUAUGAGAAAUUAUAAUUCAGAAGAUGGGUUGUGGUGGGUUUUCUUGUUUCUGCAAUGUUUGCCAGACCUCGCGGAACGAAG